UCAUCUGAGGCUGGACAGAGAGAUACUCGGCAUCGCUAGGUACCGGGAUGACAUCAUCACGUCCCUGCUGGUGUAGCUGCAUCUGAAUGACCCGACACCCAGACGUCUCAGCUGCCAGGGAUGAGUCCAGCAUUUAGACGAGCCCAUACUGACACACAUAUAAGUUUACAGAGCAGAACAAAACAUCCCUUUGAACAUGGCAGAAACUUAAUAAAUCCAGAACCUUCAGGAAUUAGAGGGCACUUUAUGGUAUAAACUGGAGUCAACCUAAAAAGGUUUUAAAUAAAUAACAUUGUUUCA
Long non-coding RNA from Pseudophryne corroboree (corroboree frog), 300 nucleotides. RefSeq lists it as uncharacterized. The record is from RefSeq and is a predicted model, not a curated record. Lineage: Eukaryota; Metazoa; Chordata; Amphibia; Anura; Myobatrachidae. The transcript has 2 exons.